Molecule: ribosomal RNA, 471 nt
Filed under: uncultured bacterium
Lineage: Bacteria
Description: bacterial SSU rRNA
Rfam family: Bacterial small subunit ribosomal RNA
Source: RNAcentral
GACGAACGCUGGCGGCGUGCUUAACACAUGCAAGUCGAACGGAAAGGCCCUGCUUUUGUGGGGUGCUCGAGUGGCGAACGGGUGAGUAACACGUGAGUAACCUGCCCUUGACUUUGGGGAUAACUUCAGGAAAACUGGGGGCUAAUACCGGAUAGGAGCUCCUGCUGCAUGGUGGGGGUUGGAAAGUUUCGGCGGUUGGGGAUGGACUCGCGGCUUAUCAGCUUGUUGGUGGGGUAGUGGCUUACCAAGGCUUUGACGGGUAGCCGGCCUGAGAGGGUGACCGGCCACAUUGGGACUGAGAUACGGCCCAGACUCCUACGGGAGGCAGCAGUGGGGAAUAUUGCACAAUGGGCGGAAGCCUGAUGCAGCAACGCCGCGUGCGGGAUGACGGCCUUCGGGUUGUAAACCGCUUUCGCCUGUGACGAAGCGUGAGUGACGGUAAUGGGUAAAGAAGCACCGGCUAACUACGUG